Molecule: long non-coding RNA, 1915 nt
Organism: Aplysia californica (California sea hare)
Lineage: Eukaryota; Metazoa; Mollusca; Gastropoda; Aplysiida; Aplysiidae
Exons: 4
Source: RefSeq, a predicted model, not a curated record
GACCUCGCGAUGGAUGACCCUGGUUCGAAUCCCUAGUGCGGUAUUCUUAAUGUUGGUUGUUUUGGGUGAGGUUUAAUGGCUUUCUACACAUUUUGAUUGGUCCUAUCGGGGGUAAUUAAUGUUAAAUUCAACGUAGCGUAAUCUUAAAACGUUGAAUGGGGAGGGGCGAUUAACUUAUACAAAGAACAAAGAUACUUUCUAAAAUAUUUUUUGUUGUGCGUUAUUGAAAUAGUUUUUCUGCGUGUAGGAGUGGGUGAGACCAAGUAUAGUAAAAGUUUUAAUACCCGUUUCAACGCUGUAAGACUACUAAAGAGGCAAUACCUCCGUAAAUAGCGUCCACCGCCGACUGGAUCGUGUUAAGUAGGUGUUGAGAUUUGAAAACCCUUCAAACAACCCAUAAUAUAUUCAUAAACAUUAUUGUUGGGAUUCGAACCAGAGUCAUAGACACCACAGCUUCACACGAUGGCAACAAAACUAACGAUGGAUAUUUUGUGUAAAAGAGAAGUAUAUUAUAAUUUGUUUUCCAUCGUAUAAGUUAUGGCGUGAGUCAUGUUCAGCACACUAAAACGAACGCUUUGAAGAAAGAAAAAUAGUUUCAUCUAUUUGUAUAAACACUUUGACAUCUUAGUGUUUAGUAUAAACCCCAGCCAUAAGCCAUUAAUUGAAAUAGUGGUGUAUGGAAAAGUCUUACCCUGAGCAGUCGAUUUGCGACGAUUGUUACGCCCCCAUCGACGCAGUCUAGGUCAUUCAGAGGACCGAAUGCUUCGUUCUUAUUUGUCAGGGGAAGCUAUCAGAGCUGGGCAUUUCCGGUGAACACCAAUUGAAUUGUAUCGAUAUCAUUUAAAAGUGUGCGGCUCUGAUAGUGCAUGGCUUUGAUACUUAAAACAAAAAUCGAAAGUGCGCGUCUUGAUACUUCAAGUUUUCAACCCUGCUUUUUUCAGGACAAUCAAGGGCAGAGAGGUGUGCAGCACCCCAACACACAGACGGGGACAUGAAGUAACAAUUCGGGUGCACCCUCAAAGGACAAACGUAAUGUUUGCAAGACUUUGAACUAAAAUCCUCGGAAAGACACACUUCUUGUCGAUGAUACUCUGGUCGUUCGAUACCAGUUUUUUUUUAUAGUUUUGAUACACAAGAAAAGCGUAAAAUACCAACAUAAAUAAUGGAUCCAGACUGUUACGGGUUUGAAACCUGGCUCCACAGAGUUCAUCCUAGUCUGCGACGCCUCUCCUUCAAACCAGCCGCCACUUUGGCCUCGUAGUUCUAGAGAACAAGGGAAGACAACCCUGCCUGCACCGCCCAGGUCCCCUCGUCUGGAGAGGCCUUUGUUUGGCUCGCAAACAGACCCGGACGUCCGAUGUGGAUGGGAGGUGCAGUUUUCGGCCCUGUGCUAAGUGUGUGGCUUCUGUGAUAGAUAUGUUAUGUUGUUCCAGGACCUUUCUAACCACACUCAGCCAGGUCCUUCUUGGUCUUCCUCUUGAUUUGAAGCCGGAUUCACGGGGUGGACACGACCCGCCCCCAACCACACCCACUUCUCCUUGUGUACCAGGAAACCAAACAGCGGCGAUGACGUAACACACACUCCAGCACUGGGACAUCAUCCGUUUCACUUGACGUCAUGCUCUUAAACCAGUCUGACGUCACAAGGAGCCUGGUCUGGCCCUGUCUCCCGCUCUGUCCAGGUCUCUGGAGUGCUCUUCACAUGAUUAACCCUUUGUAGCCGUGGCCGGGCGAUUAACUCUUGUCAGGCCGUUUGCUAGUGGACUAACGUCGUCCUAUGGGUUUUCUCCAAAGUGUCAUCGUGAGGAAUGGGGAGGAUUUUGUUGUGGAAUGAAAGAAUGCGAGGAUGGGUUGGUAGGCAGAUAGAGAGAGGGAAGGAAAGAGAGAGAGAGAGAGAGAGAGAGAGAGAGAGAGA